UACAGAGGGGGCAAGCGUUGUUCGGAAUUACUGGGCGUAAAGGGCGCGUAGGCGGCCCGCUAAGUCGAACGUGAAAUCCCCGAGCUCAACUCGGGAACUGCGUCCGAUACUGGCGGGCUUGAAUCCGGGAGAGGGAUGCGGAAUUCCAGGUGUAGCGGUGAAAUGCGUAGAUAUCUGGAGGAACACCGGUGGCGAAGGCGGCAUCCUGGACCGGCAUUGACGCUGAACAGCGAAAGCUAGGGGAGCAAACGGG
Molecule: ribosomal RNA, 253 nt
Filed under: uncultured bacterium
Lineage: Bacteria
Description: partial 16S ribosomal RNA
Rfam family: Bacterial small subunit ribosomal RNA
Source: RNAcentral